This 450-nucleotide ribosomal RNA is filed under the name uncultured bacterium. RNAcentral describes it as "partial 16S ribosomal RNA". It matches the Rfam family "Bacterial small subunit ribosomal RNA", at positions 354 to 796 of the family's 1533-position model. The record is from RNAcentral.
GUGGGGAAUAUUGGACAAUGGGCGAAAGCCUGAUCCAGCCAUGCCGCGUGUGUGAAGAAGGUCUUCGGAUUGUAAAGCACUUUAAGUUGGGAGGAAGGGUAGUAACCUAAUACGUUGCUACUUUGACGUUACCGACAGAAUAAGCACCGGCUAACUUCGUGCCAGCAGCCGCGGUAAUACGAAGGGUGCAAGCGUUAAUCGGAAUUACUGGGCGUAAAGCGCGCGUAGGUGGUUUUGUAAGUUGGAGGUGAAAUCCCCGGGCUCAACCUGGGAACUGCUUCCAAAACUGCAUGACUAGAGUACGGUAGAGGGUAGUGGAAUUUCCUGUGUAGCGGUGAAAUGCGUAGAUAUAGGAAGGAACACCAGUGGCGAAGGCGACUACCUGGACUGAUACUGACACUGAGGUGCGAAAGCGUGGGGAGCAAACAGGAUUAGAUACCCCGGUAGUCC